UGCGAACUCCUACGGGAGGCAGCAGUGGGGAAUAUUGGACAAUGGGCGCAAGCCUGAUCCAGCCAUGCCGCGUGUGUGAAGAAGGCCUUCGGGUUGUAAAGCACUUUUGUUGGGGAAGAAAAGCCAUGGGCUAAUACCCUGUGGUUCUGACGGUACCCAAAGAAUAAGCACCGGCUAACUUCGUGCCAGCAGCCGCGGUAAUACGAAGGGUGCAAGCGUUACUCGGAAUUACUGGGCGUAAAGCGUGCGUAGGUGGUUUGUUAAGUCUGAUGUGAAAACCCUGGGCUCAACCUGGGAAUGGCAUUGGAAACUGGCUGACUGGAGUGCGGUAGAGGGUAGUGGAAUUCCCGGUGUAGCAGUGAAAUGCGUAGAUAUCGGGAGGAACAUCCGUGGCGAAGGCGACUACCUGGACCGGCACUGACACUGAGGCACGAAAGCGUGGGGAGCAAACAGGAUUAGAAACCCUAGUAGUCCAGAUG
This 479-nucleotide ribosomal RNA is filed under the name uncultured bacterium. RNAcentral's name for it is "bacterial SSU rRNA". It matches the Rfam family "Bacterial small subunit ribosomal RNA", at positions 330 to 799 of the family's 1533-position model. The record is from RNAcentral.